CAGAGGAGUCCCAGGGGCCCCGCCCGAGGGCACCUCCAUCUCUCUGGGCUGGGCUGACUUCCCCGGUCCAGGGAGCCCCCGCUUCUUCAUUCGGCUCACUGAGCACUUGUGGGGGCACGACCUCAUCUUCUAAAGGCAUCUUUUCUUCCAAAUGGUCCAGCAACUUGAAAUCCAUCAGGUCUGCGUUGGACACGGCAUUGUACAUGGGAUUAGCUCUGGUCUGACCUAGGAGCUGGAAUGCCAGUAAAAGGAGGAAGCUCACGGUGGUGGUGGAGAAGGAGCUCAUGCUGGCGUCGUCAAGGAGCAAUCCACUGCUUGCUGCUCUGUCUCUCCCCUCUGGUUCCUCUCUGGUUCCCCUCUCUUGGCCUACGUCUGUCCCUGUCUCCCAGCUGCCCAGUGCCGC
This 403-nucleotide long non-coding RNA is filed under the name Homo sapiens (human). RNAcentral's name for it is "HSALNT0290291". The record is from RNAcentral. Lineage: Eukaryota; Metazoa; Chordata; Mammalia; Primates; Hominidae.